Molecule: ribosomal RNA, 441 nt
Filed under: uncultured bacterium
Lineage: Bacteria
Description: partial 16S ribosomal RNA
Rfam family: Bacterial small subunit ribosomal RNA
Source: RNAcentral
CUACGGGAUGCUCCAGUCAAGAAUCUUCCACAAUGGCCGAAAGGCUGAUGGAGCGACGCCGCGUGACCGAAGAAGCCCUUUGGGGUGUAAAGGUCUUUUAUAAGGGACGAAUCAAUGACGGUACCUUAUGAAUAAGGGGCUGCUAAUCACGUGCCAGCAGCAGCGGUAAUACGUGAGCCCCAAGCGUUAUCCGGAUUUAUUGGGCGUAAAGAGUCUGUAGGCGGCUUGGUGCGUUCUCUGUUAAAACUCUGGGCUUAACUCAGAGCUCACAGAGAAUACGGCCUCGCUAGAGACCGGAAGAGGCAGAUGGAACUGCCGGUGUAACGGUAAAAUGUGUUAAUAUCGGCAAGAACACCAAAUGCGAAGGCAUUCUGCUGGGACGGAUCUGACGCUGAGAGACGAAAGCGUGGGGAGAGAACGGGAUUAGAUACCCCUGUAGUC